AUCCUGGCUCAGGAUGAACGCUAGCGGCAGGCUUAAUACAUGCAAGUCGUGGGGCAGCAUGAGUAGCAAUACUUGAUGGCGACCGGCAAACGGGUGAGAACACGUACACAACCUUCCUUCAAGCGGGGAAUAGCCCAGAGAAAUUUGGAUUAAUACCCCAUAAUAUAUUUGAUAAGGCAUCUUAUUAAUAUUAAAGCUUCGGCACUUGAUGAUGGGUGUGCGGCUGAUUAGAUAGUUGGCGGGGUAACGGCCCACCAAGUCUACGAUCAGUAGCUGAUGUGAGAGCAUGAUCAGCCACACGGGCACUGAGACACGGGCCCGACUCCUACGGGAGGCAGCAGUAAGGAAUAUUGGACAAUGGACGAAAGUCUGAUCCAGCCAUGCCGCGUGAAGGAUUAAGGUCCUCUGGAUUGUAAACUUCUUUUAUAUGGGACGAAAAAAGGGCAUUCUUGUUCACUUGACGGUACCAUAUGAAUAAGCACCGGCUAACUCCGUG
This 496-nucleotide ribosomal RNA is filed under the name uncultured bacterium. Its description in RNAcentral is "bacterial SSU rRNA". It matches the Rfam family "Bacterial small subunit ribosomal RNA", at positions 16 to 507 of the family's 1533-position model. The record is from RNAcentral.